AUCGUCGUGGUCGUCUCUCUCUUCUGCUCUGUUGCGCCACCGUAGCCGUGAAGAGUUUUUGUGAAGGUGGUGAAGGAACUCACCUCAAUGGAGACAUAAACUCUGCAACUAAUGUUUCAUUAUCCGUUGGAACAAAUGGUGGUGAGUUGUGGUGGAGUUGGUGAUCAUCUAUUGUGUAAAUGUUCCAUGGAGUUGUGGUGGAGUUGGUGAUCAAGACUAUAUCUAUGCCUUUCAGCAUAUAGUUAUUCCCCCAUAGGUACAGAGCCGUGUUCUGCUAUUCCCUUUCGAAUUUUGUUUACUAUUUGGUCUCCACUAACUAGGCUUUGUCAUCGUAUCAUCGGGGUUUGAUGCGGCUAGAGGAGACCCAUUAGGAUGCUGUGAUGAUUUUGGUUAUAAGGUUAAUGACCACGCCUUCAAGAGCUCUCCUGCAAACUGUUCUUGAUUUAAUGAAAUGGAAGCUUGUUCGGGUUCCCACAUGGUGGAAAUGAGGUCGAAAGAAGCUUUUGUACAACAUUAUCUCUGCUCGUAUGAGUUCAAGAUCGAAGAGAUGCUAGAAACACAUCUUCCUAAUCCCCUCUUAGCCACUGUAUUCUAAUUCUAAAAUCUUUUGAUGCCAUGAGCAUACUAAAAAUCAGGACACUGAUCUAGAUAUCUCGAUUCUGUUCAAGUGUCAGAAAGAGUUGUAUUAGUCUGAAGCCUUUCUCAUAUGAUAACAAGUUUUACUUACAGAAAGGAUUGAGCUUCUACGCA
Long non-coding RNA from Raphanus sativus (radish), 750 nucleotides. RefSeq lists it as uncharacterized. The record is from RefSeq and is a predicted model, not a curated record. Lineage: Eukaryota; Viridiplantae; Streptophyta; Magnoliopsida; Brassicales; Brassicaceae. The transcript is spliced from 3 exons.